UCUGACAACCCUAGAGAUAGGGCUUCUCCUUCGGGAGCAGAGUGACAGGUGGUGCAUGGUUGUCGUCAGCUCGUGUCGUGAGAUGUUGGGUUAAGUCCCGCAACGAGCGCAACCCUUGAUCUUAGUUGCCAUCAUUUAGUUGGGCACUCUAAGGUGACUGCCGGUGACAAACCGGAGGAAGGUGGGGAUGACGUCAAAUCAUCAUGCCCCUUAUGACCUGGGCUACACACGUGCUACAAUGGACGGUACAAAGAGCUGCAAGACCGCGAGGUGGAGCUAAUCUCAUAAAACCGUUCUCAGUUCGGAUUGUAGGCUGCAACUCGCCUACAUGAAGCUGGAAUCGCUAGUAAUCGCGGAUCAGCAUGCCGCGGUGAAUACGUUCCCGGGCCUUGUACACACCGCCCGUCACACCACGAGAGUUUGUAACACCCGAAGUCGGUGGGGUAACCUUUUUGGAGCCAGCCGCCUAAGGUGGGACAGAUGAUUGGGGUGAAGUCGUAACAAGGUAGCCGUAUCGGAAGGUGCGGCUGGAUCACCUCCUUU
RNAcentral lists this ribosomal RNA (543 nucleotides) under Bacillus anthracis (anthrax bacterium). Its description in RNAcentral is "bacterial SSU rRNA". It matches the Rfam family "Bacterial small subunit ribosomal RNA", at positions 990 to 1533 of the family's 1533-position model. The record is from RNAcentral. Lineage: Bacteria; Bacillati; Bacillota; Bacilli; Caryophanales; Bacillaceae.